This 876-nucleotide long non-coding RNA is filed under the name Olea europaea subsp. europaea. Lineage: Eukaryota; Viridiplantae; Streptophyta; Magnoliopsida; Lamiales; Oleaceae. The record is from RNAcentral.
AGUGAACCUAAAUGAAUGCAAAUGCUGUGAAUGAUUUGAAGUGAAAGAUGUAUCAAAUUAAUACAGCAAAGGUGAUGCAAAUACCCAUUAGAACCUAAAUUGAUUUGGAAAUGUUUGCAUUUUCACUUAUUUAAAAACAAAUCUAAUUGACAGAAAAGUAGCAAAAUCAAGCUCUUUAGUAUUUCAACCACAUAUGGUAAUCAUGUCAUUUACAAACUGAUCGAUUACAGUUGGGAUUCCAGCAACUGACAAUUCUUCUUGUGCUGCAUGCACAAGCAAUGAAUGGAUGCCACAAGAAGAUAUUCUAACAAAUUAGAAAAUAAGAAUUUCUAUUCGAAAUGAAUACCCGUAUUUGUAACAGCAUUUGCAACAGCCAACAACUCUUCAUGCGCAUCAUCUGAACUAACUAAAGAAUUGAAAUAAAAAGAAACAAAAGAAAUAGAAAAAAGAGUGCUCUACACAUUCUGGAACUCCUAUUCUAGGAGAACAAAAUUAAAUAUUUAGAUCAAGAGUCAAAAUUUAUUCAUAAAGAAAAUUGAGUGUGUAUUAGCUACAUUGUGCAUUUGACUUAUAUGAAGCUUCCUAUCAGAGGGCUUCCUAGUAGAUGGUCCACUUGCCCCGUUGAACAAAAUGUUCAUCAAGUUAUAAGAAUUUCUCAAACUAAUGAAGAUAUCAGCUCUCACUUAUAUAUAUAUAUAUAUAUAUAUAAGGUAAAUGAAAAUGAAAAAGGGGAAUUAUAUUGAACUUCUCAUUCUUUUCAAAACCAAAUCUCGAACUUCUUAUUUGUUUGGUUAUUCCAUCAUUUCCAUUUGUACAAUCAAAAUAGAUUUUUCCACUUGUUAGAAAAAUAAACAUGCAUUUAACCUAUUUAAUUUA